AUGAGGGCUUGCUCUCAUCAAAAGUGGCGCACGGGUGCGUAACGCGUAUGCAACCUACCUUAAUCAGGGGGAUAGCCCGGAGAAAUCCGGAUUAACACCGCAUAAAACACAGGAUAGCAUUAUCCAAUGUUCAAAUAUUUAUAGGAUUAAGAUGGGCAUGCGUGUCAUUAGCUAGUUGGCGGGGUAACGGCCCACCAAGGCGACGAUGACUAGGGGAUCUGAGAGGAUGGCCCCCCACACUGGUACUGAGACACGGACCAGACUCC
RNAcentral lists this ribosomal RNA (266 nucleotides) under uncultured bacterium. RNAcentral describes it as "partial 16S ribosomal RNA". It matches the Rfam family "Bacterial small subunit ribosomal RNA", at positions 72 to 339 of the family's 1533-position model. The record is from RNAcentral.